GUUCUUCAUCAGAACAUAUACUAAAAUUGAAUGAUUCAAGAUGAUACAUGGCUCCAUCCAAGGAUAAUACACAAGUUUGUGAAGUGUCCCAUAUUUUU
This 98-nucleotide small nuclear RNA is filed under the name Nannospalax galili (Upper Galilee mountains blind mole rat). The record is from RNAcentral. Lineage: Eukaryota; Metazoa; Chordata; Mammalia; Rodentia; Spalacidae.